This 484-nucleotide ribosomal RNA is filed under the name uncultured bacterium. RNAcentral's name for it is "partial 16S ribosomal RNA". It matches the Rfam family "Bacterial small subunit ribosomal RNA", at positions 28 to 523 of the family's 1533-position model. The record is from RNAcentral.
GACGAACGCUGGCGGCGUGCUUAACACAUGCAAGUCGAACGAUGACGCUAGAGCUUGCUCUGGUGGAUUAGUGGCGAACGGGUGAGUAACACGUGAGUAACCUGCCCCGAACUCUGGGAUAACUGCUGGAAACGGUAGCUAAUACCGGAUAUGACCAAUGAAGGCAUCUUCUGUUGGUGGAAAGAAUUUCGGUCCGGGAUGGACUCGCGGCCUAUCAGCUUGUUGGUGAGGUAACGGCUCACCAAGGCGACGACGGGUAGCCGGCCUGAGAGGGUGAUCGGCCACACUGGGACUGAGACACGGCCCAGACUCCUACGGGAGGCAGCAGUGGGGAAUAUUGCACAAUGGGCGCAGGCCUGAUGCAGCAACGCCGCGUGAGGGACGACGGCCUUCGGGUUGUAAACCUCUUUUAGUAGGGAAGAAGCGAAAGUGACGGUACCUGCAGAAAAAGCACCGGCUAACUACGUGCCAGCCGCCGCCGUAA